Long non-coding RNA from Perca flavescens (yellow perch), 318 nucleotides. RefSeq lists it as uncharacterized. The record is from RefSeq and is a predicted model, not a curated record. The transcript has 2 exons. Lineage: Eukaryota; Metazoa; Chordata; Actinopteri; Perciformes; Percidae.
CUCAUCUUCAUGAUUCACCCCUGCAAUACUUAAACCUGGGCUGAUCACCUUGUUGGCGCCAGUUUCUUAUCUACAACCCAUGUGCUGCCUCCUCUGCUUUGCCUGCCUGCUUCAAGCCCCACCAUCCAGCCUCUGUCUCCAACUUGGGAAACCCUCCGUGUUCUCGUCUCUGCCUGUUCCCCUCGUGUCCCAUAAAGACCUGGAUUCUUCCCUGUUGGCUCGCCACAAGCCUCAGACCAGCCAGGAGUUUCACCACCCUGACACUACCUACAGUGAUUCUCUGAGUACACUCUGCUACAUUAAACCUUUUUAAACUGC